This 430-nucleotide ribosomal RNA is filed under the name Acidobacteriota bacterium. Its description in RNAcentral is "Acidobacteria bacterium partial 16S ribosomal RNA". It matches the Rfam family "Bacterial small subunit ribosomal RNA", at positions 355 to 776 of the family's 1533-position model. The record is from RNAcentral. Lineage: Bacteria; Pseudomonadati; Acidobacteriota.
UGGGGAAUAUUGGACAAUGGGCGCAAGCCUGAUCCAGCCAUGCCGCGUGUGUGAAGAAGGCCUUUUGGUUGUAAAGCACUUUAAGCGAGGAGGAGGCUACUGAGAUUAAUACUCUUGGAUAGUGGACGUUACUCGCAGAAUAAGCACCGGCUAACUCUGUGCCAGCAGCCGCGGUAAUACAGAGGGUGCGAGCGUUAAUCGGAUUUACUGGGCGUAAAGCGUGCGUAGGCGGCUUCUUAAGUCGGAUGUGAAAUCCCUGAGCUUAACUUAGGAAUUGCAUUCAAUACUGGGAAGCUAGAGUAUGAGAGAAGACGGUAGAAUUCCAGGUGUGGCGGUGAAAUGCGUAGAGAUCUGGAGGAAUACCGAUGGCGAAGGCAGCCAUCUGGCCUAAUACUGACGCUGAGGUACGAAAGCAUGGGGAGCAAACAGG